GUGCUGACUCAUGGCAGCACAUAUACUAAAACUGGAACCAUACAAAGAAGAUUAGUAUGGCCCCUGCGCAAACAUGACAUGCAAAUUUGUGAAGCAUUGCAUAUUUUU
RNAcentral lists this small nuclear RNA (108 nucleotides) under Dasypus novemcinctus (nine-banded armadillo). The record is from RNAcentral. Lineage: Eukaryota; Metazoa; Chordata; Mammalia; Cingulata; Dasypodidae.